Molecule: ribosomal RNA, 136 nt
Filed under: Streptococcus agalactiae
Lineage: Bacteria; Bacillati; Bacillota; Bacilli; Lactobacillales; Streptococcaceae
Description: partial 16S ribosomal RNA
Rfam family: Bacterial small subunit ribosomal RNA
Source: RNAcentral
UUUAAUGAGAGUUUGAUCCUGGCUCAGGACGAACGCUGGCGGCGUGCCUAAUACAUGCAAGUAGAACGCUGAGGUUUGGUGUUUACACUAGACUGAUGAGUUGCGAAAGGGUGAGUAACGCGUAGGUAACCUGCCU